CGAAAUUAGUUUUUUUUUGGCCGUCUCGCGAUGCAUCUAGGUUUUAGCAUGGGAUAAUAAAAUAGGACUUUGGUUUUAUUUUGUUGGUUUUAAGACCGAAGUAAUGAUUAAUAGGGUCAGUUGGGGACAUUAGUAUUUAUUCGUCAGAGGUGAAAUUCUUGGAUUGAAUAAAGACUAACUUCUGCGAAAGCAUUUGUCAAGGAUGUUCUCAUUAAUCAAGAACGAAAGUUAGGGGAUCGAAGACGAUCAGAUACCGUCGUAGUCUUAACCAUAAACUAUGCCGACUAGGGAUCAGACAAUGUUCAAUUAUGACUUGUUUGGCACCUUAUGAGAAAUCAAAGUUUUUAGGUUCCGGGGGGAGUAUGGUCGCAAGGCUGAAACUUAAAGGAAUUGACGGAAGGGCACCACCAGGAGUGGAGCCUGCGGCUUAAUUUGACUCAACACGGGGAAACUCACCAGGUCCAGAAAUCGGAUCCC
This 477-nucleotide ribosomal RNA is filed under the name uncultured fungus. RNAcentral describes it as "bacterial SSU rRNA". It matches the Rfam family "Eukaryotic small subunit ribosomal RNA", at positions 761 to 1243 of the family's 1831-position model. The record is from RNAcentral. Lineage: Eukaryota; Fungi.